CCUUUCUGCCUGCUAUUGGCUUCGUUUCUCAAAAGCUAAGUUGAUUGUAGAUUUUAUUGGUGGCAAUCUACCAUCUUCUUAUGCCUACGAGAAACGAACACGGUUUUGUAACUCGUCACCUCAGUUUAUAAACCAUACUCAGAUUAAACUGUUCAAUUUACAAAUCGUGCGCGCGGUUAAUAAACCAUACGCACAAUUAAACAAUCAGUGCUCUCAGAUUUGCAAUCCGUAUCCACAAAUUCAUAAACAAUUAAUAAACAGUGCACACGCUUUCGCAAUGGUUUUGCAAACUGAGUCCACUACCGCAGAGGUCCCCAACCACCGGGUCAUGGACAAGUUGCCACCGGUCGCAAGAACAUCCUGAAAAAAUGUGUAUAAUAGCUACGUUACAGUUUAAUCAGGUGUUUUGUCCUUUAUGAGCCGACUUCAAAUAACAUCCCAGAUAGCAGAUGGACUCGGCCCGAAUGUGGCCUCAUGAUGGCACUGCUGGCGUGCUGCCGGCAACGGCAUGCAACAUGUCAGCCAAGUAUGGGCCAGGUAUGGCAAUGAUGGCACUGGAUCCAUGAUGGCAGAUCAUAUUUGGGCCAGUUGUGGGUGGGAUGUAUGUGGCCCAGAUCAGUGUAGUGAUUCUGGCCCAGAUCAGUCUAGUGAUUGUAAGCCACAUUUAAAAUACUGAUUUAUAAUAAAUAAUUAUAAGACUUGAAGGAUUUUCAGGCUAUCUUAAUCUUAAUGUUAAUUUAACCUUUAUUAAAUAAAAUGUUAGUUUUGUAUUAAAAGAAACUAAUAUAUUUGGACAAUAAUGUUUGUCUACAUUUCAAUCACAUAAACUUGCCUUCAGAUCAUGGGUCAAGAUAAUUUUGUUCAAAUGACCCUGAACUUCCAGAAGUUUUUCUUUCUGAAUUUAAAAGUUUCUAUAACGUUGCUUUGAGAAGCACCAUGGAUUGCUUCUAUUUAAACUUGCUUUUGCGUGAUUGUCAUUGUAGCAUGAGUUUAUUCCUGCUGAAGAUUUCUGACUUCAAUGACUAAGUAAAACUAUCAUUGUGUACAAUCAAAUGUUAGAUACUGCAGAAAUAAACAAUAUGUUUCACUGUGCUUUUGCCUGCCGAAGUGUUAAAAAAGAUAAAAUCUUUGUAUCGGUUAUCCUUCGCGUUACGUUAAGGAUGCGCAGUUUAUUUAUGAAGUGCAACAAGAACAUACACGCGGAUGACAUCAAAGUACUGCGAGAGCGACUCGAAAGAUCAUGGACAGCAUUCUGAUUUCAAAUCACUCUCGCGGUAUUUUAACGUCAUCCGUUUGUCAGUUCCUGCAACUCAACAUUAUGUUGAACACCUUGUCAAAAAUGAUUGAGAUGGCCAAUCAAAUCAAAAAAGGCGAGUGCCACUGGCCAAUCACAUAACAGAAGACAAGGUUUCCUGUUAACGGAAGCCGAGCGGCGGCCAAUCAAAUUAACCAAUAGGCGGGGUUACCGUCGGAGUAGCAGUUACACCGCGUCAAUCAAUCAUAACGGACACAGAUUUCAAAGGCAGCAGGAUGAAAGAUAACCAACAUGAAGACUCUGGAGUGGGACAAGAAGGAUGAAGGAUGAUGGGGUGUAUAUGCCAAUAGACACAUCAAGUCACAUUGUGAUUUCAGUGAAAGCUGAUAGAUACAGAGGGCUGGAAAGUGGUUUCAUUGAUUAAGUAAAGAGGUGGGACAAUGAUGCUGACAGGACAGGAGGAGGUGACAUUCAGACAUUCAGCGCAGACAUUUUCAUCCAAAGCAACUUGAGGAAGAAAACAGAAGCAGUUCAUCCUAAAAGUGGGCUGCUGUAAUGUUUACAUCUAUGGAAAGAGGAGCUGAGAAGAAAAGAGACGCUGGAAAGCAGUACUUAUUGUUGAGGACAAUCCUGAAUAGGAACACUUUCUCAUACACAUAGAUUAUUAUUAGUGUUUGAUUUUUUUUCUUUUUCAUUUUUAUGAAUUGUAUUGUUUUAAUUUUUCGUUUUAUUUGAAAUGACCUAAGUUAGAUUCAUGCUAAUACUUUAACUGGACCUUGUAUCUUUGCUGGCUGGCAGUAGAGUUGGUUUCAGAUACACAUGAAGUUUCUAAUUAACUAACUUUUAUGUUCAGUUUGGUUUAAACUUGUAUUUACCCAUGAUAAUUCAUUUAAAUUUCUAUUCAUGCUAAUAUAUUAAUUUCAAUGAACUUCUGUAUUUGUGUAUAGCUGGCAAUUUGGGCAAACUACGUUUUACACACCAAUGUAACUGUCACAAAGUUUUUUUUAUUAUCAGUUUGUUCUAAACUUUUGUUUGUUUACUAAGGAUGAAAUUGCUUUGUAAUUUAAGUUGUUUGUGUUAGAUUCAUGGCAAUAAUGUAUUUGAACAAACUAGUAUUUUUGUUUAUUGCUGGCAGUUUAUACUAGAAGAGUUUUAACACAUACAAUGUUGUAGUGUUAUGGACUUGUGUGCUAUUGAUUAAUAAAAAGGCAAACAAUUUGAAAGUAAUUUUUCGUGUGAUUUAUUUAUGAAUAUAAUUUGGGCAAGAUUAGGCUGAGUUAUGGCUCAGUUUUGGAAGUUCUGGUUAAAUGCUGGUUUUAAUAUGGUUGACCUAUGGCUGAGAACUGGGCCGGAUCAAAAUUGCUAUCUGGGAUAUCAAUCUCUUUCUCUCUCUCUCUCUCUACCAGCGCAUCGGCGAUCACAUUGCUGUCAUUAGAGUUCAAGCAUACAGUACUUCUAAAACACAAUCGAUCAAAGAAUUGCAAAGGUAUGACUUUAUGAAUAAAAUGAAGACGUUCAUUUGAUAUCGCAAAUGAAACAGGC
Long non-coding RNA from Misgurnus anguillicaudatus (oriental weatherfish), 2797 nucleotides. RefSeq lists it as uncharacterized. Lineage: Eukaryota; Metazoa; Chordata; Actinopteri; Cypriniformes; Cobitidae. The record is from RefSeq and is a predicted model, not a curated record.